This 443-nucleotide ribosomal RNA is filed under the name uncultured bacterium. Its description in RNAcentral is "partial 16S ribosomal RNA". It matches the Rfam family "Bacterial small subunit ribosomal RNA", at positions 339 to 795 of the family's 1533-position model. The record is from RNAcentral.
CUACGGGACGCUCCAGUCGAGAAUCUUCCGUAAUGCACGAAAGUGUGACGGAGCGAUGCCGCGUGAUUGAUGAAGCGCUUAGGCGCGUAAAGAUCUUUUAUGAGGGAAGAAGUUUAUUGACGGUACCUCAUGAAUAAGGGGCUCCUAACUCUGUGCCAGCAGGAGCGGUAAUACAGAGGCCCCGAGCGUUACCCGGAAUCACUGGGCGUAAAGAGUGUGUAGGCGGUUGUGUUAGUCGAUAGUUAAAGCCCGGAGCCUAACUCCGGAAUCGCUAUCGAAACGGCACAACUUGAGGAUGCGAGAGGUCUGUGGAACUCACGGUGUAGGGAUAAAAUCCGUUGAUAUCGUGGGGAACACCAAAAGCGAAGGCAGCAGACUGGCGCAUUUCUGACGCUGAGACACGAAAGCGUGGGUAGCGAACGGGAUUAGAUACCCCCGUAGUC